GGCAAACAGGUGAGCCGAUGAAAAGCGAGACAGGUCAAAAGAAGAAGAAGAAGAAGGAGGUUUGUUAUGGGAACGACUCCUGAUAACAACUACCACUGACGGGGCUCUAGAGGCUGUGGGAACGACUCCUGAUAACAACUACCACUGACGGGGCUCUAGAGGCUGUGGGAACGACUCCUGAUAACAACUACCACUGACGGGGCUCUAGAGGCUGUGGGAACGACUCCUGAUAACAACUACCACUGACGGGGCUCUAGAGGCUGUGGGAACGACUCCUGAUAACAACUACCACUGACGGGGCUCUAGAGGCUGUGGGCCCACAGCCUAACUAGCCCCAUAAAACACCCACGAAGAAGAAGAAGAAGGGCCCACAGCCUAACUAGCCCCAUAAAACACCCACGAAGAAGAAGAAGAAGGGCCCACAGCCUAACUAGCCCCAUAAAACACCCACGAAGAAGUAUAAAUCUUCCUCCAAGAACAUCAUGGCAGCACAGCAAUGUUUACUUCUCCAUGCAGAGUGCUCUCUUCCAUCAGACUUGCAAGAUGCAUUUGUAACACCUCUGUUUCUUUCACAGGAGUCUGUGGCUGCCGGUGUUGAUCACAGGUAAGAUACACGUGCACCAGUGAUGACUGGACCUUCACAGACUACCUAAGGUGAGUGAUAACAGACACUGGAUGCCCUCCAGGCGAUGGCUGGGGGCUGUAUAACGCCAGCC
Long non-coding RNA from Eriocheir sinensis (Chinese mitten crab), 716 nucleotides. RefSeq lists it as uncharacterized. Lineage: Eukaryota; Metazoa; Arthropoda; Malacostraca; Decapoda; Varunidae. The transcript is spliced from 3 exons. The record is from RefSeq and is a predicted model, not a curated record.